Molecule: ribosomal RNA, 310 nt
Filed under: uncultured Parcubacteria group bacterium
Lineage: Bacteria
Description: bacterial SSU rRNA
Rfam family: Bacterial small subunit ribosomal RNA
Source: RNAcentral
GAUGAACGCUGGCGGCGUGUCUAAGGCAUGCAAGUCGAAUGCUAGUAGCAAUACUGGCAUGGCAAACGGGAGAGUAACACAUUGGUAACUUACCCCAAAGACGGGAAUAACCUCGCGAAAGCGAGAAUAAUACCCGAUGGUAUUAAAAACUUCUGUUUUUAAUUAAAGCUACGGCGCUUUGGGAGAGGCCUAUGGCCUAUCAGCUAGUUGGUGAGGUAAAAGCUCACCAAGGCUACGACGGGUAUGGGGUGCGAGAGCAUGACCCCACUCACUGGGACUGAGACACUGCCCAGACUCCUACGGGUGGCAG